RNAcentral lists this long non-coding RNA (983 nucleotides) under Cricetulus griseus (Chinese hamster). Its description in RNAcentral is "lncRNA (ENSCGRG00015043251.1)". Lineage: Eukaryota; Metazoa; Chordata; Mammalia; Rodentia; Cricetidae. The record is from RNAcentral.
CUUUAAACUCACAGUUCUAAAUGGGACGUCUUUGUCAAAUUCCUCCCCUCAGAGCUCAGGGAACCCCAUGGAAGAGGAGGCAAAAAGAGUGUAAGAGCCAGAAGGGAUGGAGAACAAGACCUCUGAAUCAACUGAGCAGGCUCAUAUGAACUCACAGAGACUGAAGCAGCAAGCACAGGCAUGCACCAGAUGAAAAUGUCCACAACAACCUGUGCAUCAAUAUUCAGAUUAGCACUGUUCAAAACAGAAAGGAGAAGCAGUACAAGUGACCAUGGAAGGAGAGCAGGUUUGGAAUCUCAAGCAAAGAGGAUGCUCUAGACUCCCAUAAUCCAGUCCUGGCUGUGUAAUCUACAUUUCCAAAUCCAGGAAGUCCCAUACAGCUGAGGCAAAGGGAGAGUGAAGACCUGGGUUAGAAUCAUGAAGGCCGUACAAGUUUACAUUCCCACCAACAAUGGAGGAGGUCUCCCUUUUCUCUACAUCCUCUCCAGAAUGAGCUGUCACUUAUGUUUUUAUCCUGACAGGUAUAAGAUGGAAUCUCAGAUUUGCUCUGAUGGCUAUGGUUGUUGAACAUCUUCUUAAGUGUUUCUCGGCCAUUUGAGAUUCUUCUGUUGAGAAUUCUCUAUUUAGGUACCCUGUAUUUUUGUUUUUGUUUUGUUUUUCGAGGCAGGGUUUCUCUGUGCAGCUUUAGCUUUAGACCAGGUUGGCUUCAAACUCACAGAGAUCUGCUUGCCUUUGCCUCCUGAGUGUUAGAAUUAAAGGCAUGUGCUACCACCACCUGGCUCUAUACCCCUUUUUAAAUUGCAUUAAAUAUCAGAGAACUCACAUGUGACUAACCUAGGCACUCUGCAUAUAUGUGACAGAUGUGUAGCUUGGUUUUCUUGUGGGACUCCACAGUGGGGGAAGGGGCUGUCUCUUUGGGAACAUAUUCCUCAUAAUGGGCCACCUUGCCCAGCCUUAAUACAAGGGGUGAUUCUUAGUCUUAC